Bombina bombina (fire-bellied toad) is the source of this 150-nucleotide long non-coding RNA. RefSeq lists it as uncharacterized. The transcript has 3 exons. The record is from RefSeq and is a predicted model, not a curated record. NCBI's taxonomy places the organism in Eukaryota, Metazoa, Chordata, Amphibia, Anura, Bombinatoridae.
GACCUUGAAAACCAUACAAAGACAUGUUCACAUGAUGGUAUUUCCCAGUCCUCUAUUUAAUGAACUGAUGAAUAAGACACCUAUUGAUGAUCAACUGUUUACCCCUGAAUUGACUUUUAAAGACCAUGCAUUAUCCAGAUGGUAUUUCCC